RNAcentral lists this ribosomal RNA (556 nucleotides) under Bacillus velezensis. Its description in RNAcentral is "bacterial SSU rRNA". It matches the Rfam family "Bacterial small subunit ribosomal RNA", at positions 49 to 588 of the family's 1533-position model. Lineage: Bacteria; Bacillati; Bacillota; Bacilli; Caryophanales; Bacillaceae. The record is from RNAcentral.
CUAUACAUGCAGUCGAGCGGACAGAUGGGAGCUUGCUCCCUGAUGUUAGCGGCGGACGGGUGAGUAACACGUGGGUAACCUGCCUGUAAGACUGGGAUAACUCCGGGAAACCGGGGCUAAUACCGGAUGGUUGUUUGAACCGCAUGGUUCAGACAUAAAAGGUGGCUUCGGCUACCACUUACAGAUGGACCCGCGGCGCAUUAGCUAGUUGGUGAGGUAACGGCUCACCAAGGCGACGAUGCGUAGCCGACCUGAGAGGGUGAUCGGCCACACUGGGACUGAGACACGGCCCAGACUCCUACGGGAGGCAGCAGUAGGGAAUCUUCCGCAAUGGACGAAAGUCUGACGGAGCAACGCCGCGUGAGUGAUGAAGGUUUUCGGAUCGUAAAGCUCUGUUGUUAGGGAAGAACAAGUGCCGUUCAAAUAGGGCGGCACCUUGACGGUACCUAACCAGAAAGCCACGGCUAACUACGUGCCAGCAGCCGCGGUAAUACGUAGGUGGCAAGCGUUGUCCGGAAUUAUUGGGCGUAAAGGGCUCGCAGGCGGUUUCUUAAGU